RNAcentral lists this ribosomal RNA (397 nucleotides) under uncultured bacterium. RNAcentral's name for it is "partial 16S ribosomal RNA". It matches the Rfam family "Bacterial small subunit ribosomal RNA", at positions 523 to 918 of the family's 1533-position model. The record is from RNAcentral.
AUACGUAGGGGGCGAGCGUUGUCCGGAAUGAUUGGGCGUAAAGGGCGCGUAGGCGGCCCGGUAAGUCUGGAGUGAAAGUCCUGCUUUUAAGGUGGGAAUUGCUUUGGAUACUGUCGGGCUUGAGUGCAGGAGUGGGCAGUGGAAUGCCCAGUGUAGCGGUGAAAUGCGUAGAGAUUGGGAGUAACAUCAGUGGAGAAGGCGACUUACUGGACUGUAACUGACGCUGAGGCGCGAAAGUGUGGGGAGCAAACAGGAUUAGAUACCCUGGUAGUCCACACUGUAAACGAUGAAUGCUAGGUGUAGGGGGUAUCGACCCCUUCUGUGCCGCAGUUAACACAAUAAGCAUUCCGCCUGGGGAGUACGGCCGCAAGGUUGAAACUCAAAGGAAUUGACGGGG